GAUGAACGCUGGCGGCGUGCUUAACACAUGCAAGUCGAACGGAAAGGCUCCUGCUUGCAGGGGUACUCGAGUGGCGAACGGAUGAGUAACACGUGGGUGAUCUGCCCUGCACUUCGGGAUAAGCCUGGGAAACUGGGUCUAAUACCGGAUAGGACGAUGGUUUGGAUGCCAUUGUGGAAAGUUUUUCGGUGUGGGAUGAGCUCGCGGCCUAUCAGCUUGUUGGUGGGGUAAUGGCCUACCAAGGCGUCGACGGGUAGCCGGCCUGAGAGGGUGUACGGCCACAUUGGGACUGAGAUACGGCCCAGACUCCUACGGGAGGCAGCAGUGGGGAAUAUUGCACAAUGGGCGCAAGCCUGAUGCAGCGACGCCGCGUGGGGGAUGACGGCCUUCGGGUUGUAAACUCCUUUCGUUAGGGACGAAGCGCAAGUGACGGUACCUGGAGAAGAAGCACCGGCUAACUACGUGCCAGCAGCCGCGGUAAUACGUAGGGUGCGAGCGUUGUCCGGAAUUACUGGGCGUAAAGAGCUCGUAGGUGGUUUGUCGCGUCGUUUGUGUAAGCCCGCAGCUUAACUGCGGGACUGCAGGCGAUACGGGCAUAACUUGAGUGCUGUAGGGGAGACUGGAAUUCCUGGUGUAGCGGUGGAAUGCGCAGAUAUCAGGAGGAACACCGAUGGCGAAGGCAGGUCUCUGGGCAGUAACUGACGCUGAGGAGCGAAAGCAUGGGUAGCGAACAGGAUUAGAUACCCUGGUAGUCCAUGCCGUAAACGGUGGGCGCUAGGUGUGAGUCCCUUCCACGGGGUUCGUGCCGUAGCUAACGCAUUAAGCGCCCCGCCUGGGGAGUACGGCCGCAAGGCUAAAACUCAAAGGAAUUGACGGGGGCCCGCACAAGCGGCGGAGCAUGUGGAUUAAUUCGAUGCAACGCGAAGAACCUUACCUGGGCUUGACAUACACCAGACCGGGCCAGAGAUGGUCUUUCCCUUUGUGGUUGGUGUACAGGUGGUGCAUGGUUGUCGUCAGCUCGUGUCGUGAGAUGUUGGGUUAAGUCCCGCAACGAGCGCAACCCUUGUCUUAUGUUGCCAGCACGUUAUAGUGGGGACUCGUGAGAGACUGCCGGGGUUAACUCGGAGGAAGGUGGGGAUGACGUCAAAUCAUCAUGCCCCUUAUGUCCAGGGCUUCACACAUGCUACAAUGGUCGGUACAACGCGUCUGCGAGCCUGUGAGGGUGAGCUAAUCGCUGUAAAGCCGGUCGUAGUUCGGAUUGGGGUCUGCAACUCGACCCCAUGAAGUCGGAGUCGCUAGUAAUCGCAGAUCAGCAACGCUGCGGUGAAUACGUUCCCGGGCCU
This 1343-nucleotide ribosomal RNA is filed under the name uncultured bacterium. RNAcentral describes it as "bacterial SSU rRNA". It matches the Rfam family "Bacterial small subunit ribosomal RNA", at positions 28 to 1381 of the family's 1533-position model. The record is from RNAcentral.